This 69-nucleotide transfer RNA is filed under the name Cavia porcellus (domestic guinea pig). It matches the Rfam family "tRNA". From Rfam's summary of the family: Transfer RNA (tRNA) molecules are approximately 80 nucleotides in length. Lineage: Eukaryota; Metazoa; Chordata; Mammalia; Rodentia; Caviidae. The record is from Rfam by way of RNAcentral.
GGGGAUAUGGCUCAAUAAUGGAGCUCUUGCCUGGCAUGCAUAAGGCUCUGGGUUCAAUUCCCAGCACCA